ACGACCUUACUUGAACAGGAUCUGUUCUAUAGGCUCGUACCUCUGUUUCCUUGAUUUCUAAGGAGACAGGCCCUUAAACCUGGUUGAUGAAUCAAAGCCGUGUAACCUGAGUGUGAUUGACGGCGGUUCGUCUCUUCGGAGACCCUCUGCUGUAGAGGAUCGCUACCUGGUUAGGUCUUCCUAUCUGGGGUGGUCGCACGGUUGUCUGACAGGCU
This 215-nucleotide small nucleolar RNA is filed under the name Arabidopsis thaliana x Arabidopsis arenosa. Its description in RNAcentral is "Plant_U3". It matches the Rfam family "Plant small nucleolar RNA U3". From Rfam's summary of the family: Small nucleolar RNAs (snoRNAs) are involved in the processing and modification of rRNA in the nucleolus. There are two main classes of snoRNAs: the box C/D class, and the box H/ACA class. U3 snoRNA is a member of the box C/D class. Lineage: Eukaryota; Viridiplantae; Streptophyta; Magnoliopsida; Brassicales; Brassicaceae. The record is from RNAcentral.